GUGGGGAAUAUUGCGCAAUGGCCGAAAGGCUGACGCAGCGACGCCGCGUGUGGGAGGAAGCCCUUCGGGGUGUAAACCACUGUCAGAGGGGAAGAACCCCGUCAAUUCGAAUAGGGUUGGCGGCUGACGGUACCCUCAAAGGAAGCACCGGCUAACUCCGUGCCAGCAGCCGCGGUAAGACGGAGGGUGCAAGCGUUGUUCGGAAUUACUGGGCGUAAAGCGCGAGCAGGUGGUCUGUUAAGUCUUUUGUGAAAACCCGGGGCUCAACUCCGUGGAAUGCAGAAGAUACUGGCAGGCUAGAGACCAGUAGAGGCUAGCGGAAUUCCUGGUGUAGCGGUGGAAUGCGUAGAUAUCAGGAAGAACACCUGUGGCGAAGGCGGCUAGCUGGGCUGGAUCUGACACUCAUCCGCGAAAGCGUGGGGAGCAAACAGGAUUAGAAACCCGGGUAGUCC
This 452-nucleotide ribosomal RNA is filed under the name uncultured bacterium. RNAcentral describes it as "bacterial SSU rRNA". It matches the Rfam family "Bacterial small subunit ribosomal RNA", at positions 354 to 796 of the family's 1533-position model. The record is from RNAcentral.